Non-coding RNA from Saimiri boliviensis boliviensis (Bolivian squirrel monkey), 1289 nucleotides. The record is from RefSeq and is a predicted model, not a curated record. NCBI's taxonomy places the organism in Eukaryota, Metazoa, Chordata, Mammalia, Primates, Cebidae.
AUGGAGUUGGGCAUGAAGCUAUGGGAAAAAGGCAGGGUGGUGUUGAUACCAGGGGACAAAACCAAUGGAGCAAAAGACCUCCAGGAGAUCCGGGAGGAGUACCCAGACAGGAUAUGAACCCGUUCAGUGUGGUACCCUCACCCAAAGUAUCAGACACGGUGGUGGAGCCCAACAAUGCCACCUUCCCCAUCCUCCAGUUCAUAGGAAACACAGACGAGACCUACUGCAUCGAUAAUGAAGCUCUCUAUGACAUCUGCUUCAGAACCCUAAAGCUUCUAUGCCCACCUACAGUGACCUGAACCACCUGGUGUCUGCCACGAUGAGUGGGGUUUCUACCUGCCUGUGCUUCCCAGGCCAGCUCAAUUCUGACCUGCAGAAGCUGGCCGUGAAUAUGGUCCUGUUUUCUCACCAGCAUGUCUUCAUAUCCAGCUUUGCCCUGCUGCCCAGCCAGGGGAGCUAGCAAUCCCGGGCCCUGACAGUGCCGAGCUCACCCAGCAGAUGUUGGAUGCCAAGAACAUGAUGGCAGCCUACGACCCCCACCAUGGCCGCUACCUGACAGUGGCCGCCGUGUUCAGGGGCCUGCAUGUCCAUGAAGGAGGUGGAUGAGCAAAUGCUUAAUGUCCAAAACAAGAACAGCAGCUACUUUGCUGUGUUGAUCCCCAACAAUGAGAAAAUGGCUGUCUGUGACAUCCUGCCCCGAGGGCUAAAAAUGUCCAGUCAUCUUCACUGGCAACAGCAGAGCCAUGCAGGAGCUGUUGUAGUGCAUCUCAAUGUAAUUCACAGCCACGUUUCUGCACAAGACCUUUCUGCACUGGUACAUAGGCGAGGGCCUGGACGAGAUGGAGUUCACUAAGGCCAAGAGCAACAUGAAUGACCUGGUGUUCAAAUACCAACAGUACUAGGAUACCACAGCUGAGGAGGAGGGUGAGUUCGAGGAGGAGGUGGCCCAGAGCCUCCAGUCACCGGGGAAAUCGAGGAAGCAGUGUGAACUCUUUAUUCACUCCCAGCCUGUCCUCUGGCCUAUCCCACUGUGUUUGCACUUGCUAUUUUCCCUGUCCAUGUGCCAUGCUGUACAGACACCAUUAUUAAAGCAUUUUCAUAGUGAAAAAAAAAUUUUUUUGAAUUAUCAGCUGGAGAACGUGGCUGAGGGCCUAGUGGACACUGGAGUCGAGGAGCUGUCAGAGGUCCCAGAACACCUUAAGCUGAUGGGAAUGGUUGAGCUCCCAGGUGACACCCAGAUGGAGGAGAUGGCUAGCAAUCCAUCAGGGAUCUUGAAGGGUCAGCCAUGA